GAUGAACGCUGGCGGCGUGCCUAAUACAUGCCAGUCGAGCGAACGGACGAGAAGCUUGCUUUUCUGAUGUUAGCGGCGGACGGGUGAGUAACACGUGGAUAACCUACCUAUAAGACUGGGAUAACUUCGGGAAACCGGAGCUAAUACCGGAUAAUAUUUUGAACCGCAUGGUUCAAAAGUGAAAGACGGUCUUGCUGUCACUUAUAGAUGGAUCCGCGCUGCAUUAGCUAGUUGGUAAGGUAACGGCUUACCAAGGCAACGAUGCAUAGCCGACCUGAGAGGGUGGUCGCCCACACUGGAGCUGAGACGCGGUCCAGACUCCUGCGGGAGGCAGCAGUAGGGAAUCUUCCGCAGUGGGCGAAAGCCUGACGGAGCAACGCCGCGUGAGUGAUGACGGUCUUCGGAUCGUAAAACUCUGUUAUUAGGGAAGAACAUAUGUGUAAGUAACUGUGCACAUCUUGACGGUACCUAAUCAGAAAGCCACGGCUAACUACGUG
RNAcentral lists this ribosomal RNA (497 nucleotides) under uncultured bacterium. RNAcentral's name for it is "partial 16S ribosomal RNA". It matches the Rfam family "Bacterial small subunit ribosomal RNA", at positions 28 to 507 of the family's 1533-position model. The record is from RNAcentral.